AACGCGAAGAACCUUACCAGGUCUUGACAUCCUCUUGAAUACAUUAGAGAUAGUGUAGGCUUUCGGGACAAGAGAGACAGGUGGUGCAUGGUUGUCGUCAGCUCGUGUCGUGAGAUGUUGGGUUAAGUCCCGCAACGAGCGCAACCCUUGAUCUUAGUUGCCAGCAUUAAGUUGGGCACUCUAGGAUGACUGCCGGUGACAAACCGGAGGAAGGUGGGGAUGACGUCAAAUCAUCAUGCCCCUUAUGACCUGGGCUACACACGUACUACAAUGGCCGGUACAACGGGAAGCGAGACCGCGAGGUGGAGCGAAUCCUAAAAAGCCGGUCUCAGUUCGGAUUGCAGGCUGCAACUCGCCUGCAUGAAGUCGGAAUUGCUAGUAAUCGCGGAUCAGCAUGCCGCGGUGAAUACGUUCCCGGGCCUUGUACACACCGAUACUC
RNAcentral lists this ribosomal RNA (439 nucleotides) under uncultured bacterium. RNAcentral describes it as "bacterial SSU rRNA". It matches the Rfam family "Bacterial small subunit ribosomal RNA", at positions 958 to 1398 of the family's 1533-position model. The record is from RNAcentral.